This 1541-nucleotide ribosomal RNA is filed under the name Salmonella sp. CVCC 1806. RNAcentral's name for it is "bacterial SSU rRNA". It matches the Rfam family "Bacterial small subunit ribosomal RNA". Lineage: Bacteria; Pseudomonadati; Pseudomonadota; Gammaproteobacteria; Enterobacterales; Enterobacteriaceae. The record is from RNAcentral.
AAAUUGAAGAGUUUGAUCAUGGCUCAGAUUGAACGCUGGCGGCAGGCCUAACACAUGCAAGUCGAACGGUAACAGGAAGCAGCUUGCUGCUUUGCUGACGAGUGGCGGACGGGUGAGUAAUGUCUGGGAAACUGCCUGAUGGAGGGGGAUAACUACUGGAAACGGUGGCUAAUACCGCAUAACGUCGCAAGACCAAAGAGGGGGACCUUCGGGCCUCUUGCCAUCAGAUGUGCCCAGAUGGGAUUAGCUUGUUGGUGAGGUAACGGCUCACCAAGGCGACGAUCCCUAGCUGGUCUGAGAGGAUGACCAGCCACACUGGAACUGAGACACGGUCCAGACUCCUACGGGAGGCAGCAGUGGGGAAUAUUGCACAAUGGGCGCAAGCCUGAUGCAGCCAUGCCGCGUGUAUGAAGAAGGCCUUCGGGUUGUAAAGUACUUUCAGCGGGGAGGAAGGUGUUGUGGUUAAUAACCGCAGCAAUUGACGUUACCCGCAGAAGAAGCACCGGCUAACUCCGUGCCAGCAGCCGCGGUAAUACGGAGGGUGCAAGCGUUAAUCGGAAUUACUGGGCGUAAAGCGCACGCAGGCGGUCUGUCAAGUCGGAUGUGAAAUCCCCGGGCUCAACCUGGGAACUGCAUUCGAAACUGGCAGGCUUGAGUCUUGUAGAGGGGGGUAGAAUUCCAGGUGUAGCGGUGAAAUGCGUAGAGAUCUGGAGGAAUACCGGUGGCGAAGGCGGCCCCCUGGACAAAGACUGACGCUCAGGUGCGAAAGCGUGGGGAGCAAACAGGAUUAAUACCCUGGUAGUCCACGCCGUAAACGAUGUCUACUUGGAGGUUGUGCCCUUGAGGCGUGGCUUCCGGAGCUAACGCGUUAAGUAGACCGCCUGGGGAGUACGGCCGCAAGGUUAAAACUCAAAUGAAUUGACGGGGGCCCGCACAAGCGGUGGAGCAUGUGGUUUAAUUCGAUGCAACGCGAAGAACCUUACCUGGUCUUGACAUCCACAGAAGAAUCCAGAGAUGGAUUUGUGCCUUCGGGAACUGUGAGACAGGUGCUGCAUGGCUGUCGUCAGCUCGUGUUGUGAAAUGUUGGGUUAAGUCCCGCAACGAGCGCAACCCUUAUCCUUUGUUGCCAGCGAUUAGGUCGGGAACUCAAAGGAGACUGCCAGUGAUAAACUGGAGGAAGGUGGGGAUGACGUCAAGUCAUCAUGGCCCUUACGACCAGGGCUACACACGUGCUACAAUGGCGCAUACAAAGAGAAGCGACCUCGCGAGAGCAAGCGGACCUCAUAAAGUGCGUCGUAGUCCGGAUUGGAGUCUGCAACUCGACUCCAUGAAGUCGGAAUCGCUAGUAAUCGUGGAUCAGAAUGCCACGGUGAAUACGUUCCCGGGCCUUGUACACACCGCCCGUCACACCAUGGGAGUGGGUUGCAAAAGAAGUAGGUAGCUUAACCUUCGGGAGGGCGCUUACCACUUUGUGAUUCAUGACUGGGGUGAAGUCGUAACAAGGUAACCGUAGGGGAACCUGCGGUUGGAUCACCUCCUUA